AGAGUUUGAUCAUGGCUCAGAUUGAACGCUGGCGGCAGGCCUAACACAUGCAAGUCGAACGGUAACAGGAAGCAGCUUGCUGCUUUGCUGACGAGUGGCGGACGGGUGAGUAAUGUCUGGGAAACUGCCUGAUGGAGGGGGAUAACUACUGGAAACGGUGGCUAAUACCGCAUAACGUCGCAAGACCAAAGAGGGGGACCUUCGGGCCUCUUGCCAUCAGAUGUGCCCAGAUGGGAUUAGCUUGUUGGUGAGGUAACGGCUCACCAAGGCGACGAUCCCUAGCUGGUCUGAGAGGAUGACCAGCCACACUGGAACUGAGACACGGUCCAGACUCCUACGGGAGGCAGCAGUGGGGAAUAUUGCACAAUGGGCGCAAGCCUGAUGCAGCCAUGCCGCGUGUAUGAAGAAGGCCUUCGGGUUGUAAAGUACUUUCAGCGGGGAGGAAGGUGUUGUGGUUAAUAACCGCAGCAAUUGACGUUACCCGCAGAAGAAGCACCGGCUAACUCCGUGCCAGCAGCCGCGGUAAUACGGAGGGUGCAAGCGUUAAUCGGAAUUACUGGGCGUAAAGCGCACGCAGGCGGUCUGUCAAGUCGGAUGUGAAAUCCCCGGGCUCAACCUGGGAACUGCAUUCGAAACUGGCAGGCUUGAGUCUUGUAGAGGGGGGUAGAAUUCCAGGUGUAGCGGUGAAAUGCGUAGAGAUCUGGAGGAAUACCGGUGGCGAAGGCGGCCCCCUGGACAAAGACUGACGCUCAGGUGCGAAAGCGUGGGGAGCAAACAGGAUUAGAUACCCUGGUAGUCCACGCCGUAAACGAUGUCUACUUGGAGGUUGUGCCCUUGAGGCGUGGCUUCCGGAGCUAACGCGUUAAGUAGACCGCCUGGGGAGUACGGCCGCAAGGUUAAAACUCAAAUGAAUUGACGGGGGCCCGCACAAGCGGUGGAGCAUGUGGUUUAAUUCGAUGCAACGCGAAGAACCUUACCUGGUCUUGACAUCCACGGAAGUUUUCAGAGAUGGAAUGUGCCUUCGGGAACCGUGAGACAGGUGCUGCAUGGCUGUCGUCAGCUCGUGUUGUGAAAUGUUGGGUUAAGUCCCGCAACGAGCGCAACCCUUAUCCUUUGUUGCCAGCGAUUCGGUCGGGAACUCAAAGGAGACUGCCAGUGAUAAACUGGAGGAAGGUGGGGAUGACGUCAAGUCAUCAUGGCCCUUACGACCAGGGCUACACACGUGCUACAAUGGCGCAUACAAAGAGAAGCGACCUCGCGAGAGCAAGCGGACCUCAUAAAGUGCGUCGUAGUCCGGAUUGGAGUCUGCAACUCGACUCCAUGAAGUCGGAAUCGCUAGUAAUCGUGGAUCAGAAUGCCACGGUGAAUACGUUCCCGGGCCUUGUACACACCGCCCGUCACACCAUGGGAGUGGGUUGCAAAAGAAGUAGGUAGCUUAACCUUCGGGAGGGCGCUUACCACUUUGUGAUUCAUGACUGGGGUGAAGUCGUAACAAGGUAACCGUAGGGGAACCUGCGGUUG
RNAcentral lists this ribosomal RNA (1521 nucleotides) under Salmonella enterica subsp. enterica serovar Montevideo. RNAcentral describes it as "bacterial SSU rRNA". It matches the Rfam family "Bacterial small subunit ribosomal RNA". The record is from RNAcentral. Lineage: Bacteria; Pseudomonadati; Pseudomonadota; Gammaproteobacteria; Enterobacterales; Enterobacteriaceae.